Molecule: long non-coding RNA, 1720 nt
Filed under: Exaiptasia diaphana
Lineage: Eukaryota; Metazoa; Cnidaria; Anthozoa; Actiniaria; Aiptasiidae
Description: uncharacterized LOC114575160
Source: RNAcentral
AUAUACUUUAAUAAGUGUGAAUAUUUUAUUUCAAGACUGACACUCCAAAUGCCAAUACUAACAAUCGACGAUUAUCAACACCUCUAAAUAAUGUNAAUCACAGUCGAGGUGUCUUGGGUACAAAUCGACAACCAUUAGACCUUGGUGGUAUAACUGGUGUUAGUAUGUCGAUAUCAGCUGGUCCGCCAGGUAGUGACCUACCAGCUUCACAUAGUGGUCACCAUGGUGAUACACGGGGAAUUUCGCCAAACAGUGAUGAUGCUGAUGAAGUUGAUAGCUAUUUUGGUCAUGGACAACCAGCACAUUCUCAAAGACGAGGAAGACUGGCGACAAUUAGAUAGCAAAAACCCACUAAUUUAAUAUUUAUAUUAGAUUCUAACAAAUUUUACUUUCUAUUUGCACAAAAAGUCUUGUGAUCAAAGUUGAAAUAGUGCAAGGUGGUUAUAUAACCAGCUCUUUGUUCUACUUGAGCUUUGUAGAAUUAUCCUUUUUUAUUAAUAUUCAUAAUUAUUCUCCAUUGCAGUAGUUGUCAGUCUUACACUAGUGUUGGGUGACACUGAUAACAGCUGCAAGGGAGACUACUCGGAAAUCCAGGAAUUUUUAAGUGACGGCUUUGGAUGCUUGGGAAAACGGAAGUGGUGUUAGUCACCAAUUUCCAGCUACACCAGCAUUCCUCUGUCCUUACACAAUAUCCACUGGGAUUCAAGUAUUCUUUAAUGUUAGAAUCCAUCAAAUUCAAUUUUUCCCCAGAAAUUGUAACACAAGAUGAAAUAGCAUCAGCUAAAGAGAAGGAUAAUGAACACUGUUCCCGUACAGUAGUUGUAAAUAGAGGCUAUUUUGAGCCAAGACUGAAUAUACAUAUUUCAAUGACAUUCAUUGUCAAAAAUUGUUGAACUGAGCGCAUAAGGAAUGAUAAUUGCAGGUUCAAAAUUUGUAUUGCUUAAAAUGACUAUCAAUGCAAAUCGAAAUCAGUAUAGACAGUAUAUAUUGCCAUAUUAUGGCAAUCUCAAAUCAGUGAGUAACUAACUCUUAAUAACCAAACCCAAGACUCGUUGAAUGUCAUUUCUCUUCUUUUCAUAGCUUCUGUUGCAGAUGACCUGCAAAAAUGACCUGCGAUAUUCAGGGCAGGGUCACUGGAAGCUAAUAUUUUUCACCCUUUUGACAUCAAACCACAAAGACUCAGGGGGGGGUUCACCAAUUGGUCCUAUGGAACCAGCCUAUCUGUUUACCCAGAGAAAUAAACCUUGAGGAUCCUUGACCAUCAAACCAGCCUUGCGCUUGCACUGAAUGUACCUGGUUUGUUAAUAGGGACCUCCUAGAUUGGUUUAAACAGAUAUUCAUUUGGUAGUUUUCAUAAUCCGUGGCAGUGAUCAUAUUAUAUAUCAAAAUCAAGAACUGAGAGAGUUAUGGGAGAAGGUAUAUGUGAUGUUUAUUAGGUCGCAUUAUACCCUUCAAAAACUUUAACUACCCUCCAAAAUUAAGUGAACAAUUAUUAAUUUCAUUCUAUUAUUUUCUAUAUACUGUCUUUGUAUCGUAUAUAUUGUUAAUGUAUUAUUUAUUAUUGUCAAAUUAAUACACAUUGUUCACGGGUUUAUGGAGACUACUAUAUGAAUAUAAGUUUGAUGUAAUCUUGGGUAUAUUUCUAGUUAAAUAACUGAUAUGUUAUUGUAAUAUAUAGGUUCGAUUUAAAGGGAUUUACACAAAUAAAUACUUUAGGCUA